Molecule: ribosomal RNA, 380 nt
Filed under: uncultured eukaryote
Lineage: Eukaryota
Description: partial 18S ribosomal RNA
Rfam family: Eukaryotic small subunit ribosomal RNA
Source: RNAcentral
CAAUGGCGUAUAUUAAAGUUGUUGCGGUUAAAAAGCUCGUAGUUGGAUUUCUGCUGAGAACGACCGGUCCGCCCUUUGGGUGUGUAUCUGGCUCUUUCUUGGCAUCUUCUUGGUGAACGUUGCUGCACUUGACUGUGUGGAGCGCUACCCAGGACUUUUACUUUGAGGAAAUUAGAGUGUUUCAAGCAGGCAUACGCCUUGAAUACAUUAGCAUGGAAUAAUAAGAUAGGACCUCGGUUCUAUUUUGUUGGUUUCUAGAGCUGAGGUAAUGAUUAAUAGGGAUAGUUGGGGGCAUUCGUAUUUAACUGUCAGAAGUGAAAUUCUUGGAUUUGUUAAAGACGGACUACUGCGAAAGCAUUUGCCAAGGAUGUUUUCAUUGA